CGGAGAAGGCGCAUGAGACCCUAAUACCACAUCCAAGGAAGGNAGCAGGNGCGCAAAUUCCUCAAUCCCGACACGGGGAGGUAGUGACAAUAUGUAACAAUAUACGGCUUUAUUGUCGUAUAAUUGGAAUGAGUACAAUUUAAAUCCCUUAACGAGGAACAAUUGGAGGGCAAGUCUGGUGCCAGCAGCCGCGGUAAUUCCAGCUCCAAUAGCGUAUAUUAAAGUUGUUGCAGUUAAAAAGCUCGUAGUUGGACCUUGGGCCUGGACAGGCGGUCCGCCUCACGGCGUGUACUGUCUUGCUGGGCCUUUCCUCUUGGUGAUCUGUGGUUUCGGCCGCAGGGAACCAGGACCUUUACUUUGAAAAAAUUAGAGUGUUCAAAGCAGGCUUUACGCCAGAAUAUAUUAGCAUGGAAUAAUAAAAUAGGACGUGCGGUUCUAUUUUGUUGGUUUUGGGAUCGCCGUACCGAUUAAUAGGUACAGUCCCC
This 485-nucleotide ribosomal RNA is filed under the name uncultured organism. Its description in RNAcentral is "SSU rRNA". It matches the Rfam family "Eukaryotic small subunit ribosomal RNA", at positions 384 to 886 of the family's 1831-position model. The record is from RNAcentral.